GUCACCUUGGGAUCUUGUUAAAAUGCAUAUUCUGAUUCACUAUGUUUGGCCUAAGAUUCUGCAUUUUUAACAAGCUCCCAGGUGAUGUUGA
Non-coding RNA from Ailuropoda melanoleuca (giant panda), 91 nucleotides. The record is from Rfam. Lineage: Eukaryota; Metazoa; Chordata; Mammalia; Carnivora; Ursidae.